RNAcentral lists this ribosomal RNA (581 nucleotides) under uncultured bacterium. Its description in RNAcentral is "bacterial SSU rRNA". It matches the Rfam family "Bacterial small subunit ribosomal RNA", at positions 102 to 679 of the family's 1533-position model. The record is from RNAcentral.
ACGGGUGAGUAAUGUCUGGGGAUCUGCCCGAUAGAGGGGGAUAACCACUGGAAACGGUGGCUAAUACCGCAUAACGUCGCAAGACCAAAGAGGGGGACCUUCGGGCCUCUCACUAUCGGAUGAACCCAGAUGGGAUUAGCUAGUAGGCGGGGUAAUGGCCCACCUAGGCGACGAUCCCUAGCUGGUCUGAGAGGAUGACCUGCCACACUGGAACUGAGACACGGUCCAGACUCCUACGGGAGGCAGCAGUGGGGAAUAUUGCACAAUGGGCGCAAGCCUGAUGCAGCCAUGCCGCGUGUAUGAAGAAGGCCUUCGGGUUGUAAAGUACUUUCAGCGGGGAGGAAGGCGACGGGGUUAAUAACCCUGUCGAUUGACGUUACCCGCAGAAGAAGCACCGGCUAACUCCGUGCCAGCAGCCGCGGUAAUACGGAGGGUGCAAGCGUUAAUCGGAAUUACUGGGCGUAAAGCGCACGCAGGCGGUCUGUUAAGUCAGAUGUGAAAUCCCCGGGCUUAACCUGGGAACUGCAUUUGAAACUGGCAGGCUUGAGUCUUGUAGAGGGGGGUAGAAUUCCAGGUGUAGC